GAUGAACGCUGGCGGCGUGCCUAAUACAUGCAAGUCGAGCGAACAGACGAGGAGCUUGCUCCUCUGACGUUAGCGGCGGACGGGUGAGUAACACGUGGAUAACCUACCUAUAAGACUGGGAUAACUUCGGGAAACCGGAGCUAAUACCGGAUAAUAUAUUGAACCGCAUGGUUCAAUAGUGAAAGACGGUUUUGCUGUCACUUAUAGAUGGAUCCGCGCCGCAUUAGCUAGUUGGUAAGGUAACGGCUUACCAAGGCGACGAUGCGUAGCCGACCUGAGAGGGUUAUCGGCCAAAAUGGAACCGAGACCCGGUCCAGACUCCUACGGGAGGCAGCAGUAGGGAAUCUUCCGCAAUGGGCGAAAGCCUGACGGAGCAACGCCGCGUGAGUGAUGAAGGUCUUCGGAUCGUAAAACUCUGUUAUUAGGGAAGAACAAAUGUGUAAGUAACUAUGCACGUCUUGACGGUACCUAAUCAGAAAGCCACGGCUAACUACGUG
This 497-nucleotide ribosomal RNA is filed under the name uncultured bacterium. Its description in RNAcentral is "partial 16S ribosomal RNA". It matches the Rfam family "Bacterial small subunit ribosomal RNA", at positions 28 to 507 of the family's 1533-position model. The record is from RNAcentral.